GAUGAACGCUGGCGGCGUGCUUAACACAUGCAAGUCGAACGGAAAGGCCAGUGCUUGCACUGGUACUCGAGUGGCGAACGGGUGAGUAACACGUGGGUGAUCUGCCCUGCACUUCGGGAUAAGCCUGGGAAACUGGGUCUAAUACCGGAUAGGACAAUGGUUUGGAUGCCGUUGUGGAAAGUUUUUUCGGUGUGGGAUGAGCUCGCGGCCUAUCAGCUUGUUGGUGGGGUAAUGGCCUACCAAGGCGUCGACGGGUAGCCGGCCUGAGAGGGUGUACGGCCACAUUGGGACUGAGAUACGGCCCAGACUCCUACGGGAGGCAGCAGUGGGGGAUAUUGCACAAUGGGCGCAAGCCUGAUGCAGCGACGCCGCGUGGGGGAUGACGGCCUUCGGGUUGUAAACUCCUUUCGCUAGGGACGAAGCGUAUUUGUGACGGUACCUGGAGAAGAAGCACCGGCUAACUACGUG
This 468-nucleotide ribosomal RNA is filed under the name uncultured bacterium. RNAcentral's name for it is "partial 16S ribosomal RNA". It matches the Rfam family "Bacterial small subunit ribosomal RNA", at positions 28 to 507 of the family's 1533-position model. The record is from RNAcentral.